AAUCCUCUUACUCCGUCUCUACUCUCAUACUCAUCUCUUCCCGUCUCAUCUUCUUUGUCGAUCGGCGGCGUUCCCAUCUCAUCUCCCUGUCCAGGUAAUUUUUUCUCAUCCUUGGCUCUCCAAUGACUUUGAUUUCUGUAUCGAAGCUUGUUCCAUUCGAAAUUGACGUGAGGAAGGAAAAGAAAAGUGAAGAAAAAGGUUGUCAAAGUGAGGGUUGCGGAGUUUGUUUGAGAGAUUGAAUAAUUGGGUUUGGAAAUUGGAAUUGUGGUGUUUUCAUCUCAUGGUAUUCUUCUGAAGGGGGUUGUUACAUUAAAAUUUUUGGUGGGAAGAGAGCAACUUUGCUCAGCUUGCUUUGUCUUUUCUCCAUUGAAGCACAACAUGGAUUCCAGGAAGAAGACAGAGCUAGCUUCACAAGAGUAGAAGAAUACGAGGGUGUAGAAAAUUAGAAGGAACGAGAUGCUAAUACCGGCUGAAUGUAGGGUUUUUAGUGAUUGGAGUUGGACUGGGUUGGGUUGGGUUUUACCAAGUUAAAUCCGGAAUUUGGAAUUUCCUUGUUUUUUCAACACACAUCUGGUCUAGUAUUUAUAUCGAUGGGUUAUCGAGUACUCAAAACCAGGUUGAUCGGGUCGGACCGGGUAAAAAUAUGAUCAAAUUCGGUCCGAUUCCUAGCUUUAGCGGUAGAGUUAAUUAGUUGAGUUGGGGGACGUCCCAUAAGAAUUAAGAUACCUUAAAUAAGGUUAAAAAUAAAUACAAAAAUUAAUGUCAUGUACAUGAUAUUUACAGACACGAUGAUAUUAUAUGAAAAGUUAUAAGAAUCAUGAUACUCACGAUUUCAUAAUCACCUAAUAUGAUUGGAAUUUGAAUUCCAUUUUGUGAUGUUGAUUACUUUGAUGUGAUGUUAGGAUUACAUAAAGAUAUAA
This 920-nucleotide long non-coding RNA is filed under the name Linum usitatissimum (flax). RNAcentral describes it as "long non-coding RNA (LUSI_LNC002790)". The record is from RNAcentral. Lineage: Eukaryota; Viridiplantae; Streptophyta; Magnoliopsida; Malpighiales; Linaceae.